This 468-nucleotide ribosomal RNA is filed under the name uncultured bacterium. Its description in RNAcentral is "partial 16S ribosomal RNA". It matches the Rfam family "Bacterial small subunit ribosomal RNA", at positions 28 to 507 of the family's 1533-position model. The record is from RNAcentral.
GACGAACGCUGGCGGCGUGCUUAACACAUGCAAGUCGAACGGAAAGGCCCUGCUUUUGUGGGGUGCUCGAGUGGCGAACGGGUGAGUAACACGUGAGUAACCUGCCCCUGACUUUGGGAUAACUUCAGGAAACUGGGGCUAAUACCGGAUAGGAGCUCCUGCUGCAUGGUGGGGGUUGGAAAGUUUCGGCGGUUGGGGAUGGACUCGCGGCUUAUCAGCUUGUUGGUGGGGUAGUGGCUUACCAAGGCUUUGACGGGUAGCCGGCCUGAGAGGGUGACCGGCCACAUUGGGACUGAGAUACGGCCCAGACGCCUACGGGAGGCAGCAGUGGGGAAUAUUGCACAAUGGGCGGAAGCCUGAUGCAGCAACGCCGCGUGCGGGAUGACGGCCUUCGGGUUGUAAACCGCUUUCGCCUGUGACGAAGCGUGAGUGACGAUAAUGGGUAAAGAAGCACCGGCUAACUACGUG